Molecule: long non-coding RNA, 1028 nt
Filed under: Equus caballus (horse)
Lineage: Eukaryota; Metazoa; Chordata; Mammalia; Perissodactyla; Equidae
Description: lncRNA (ENSECAG00000029134.3)
Source: RNAcentral
CGGUAACCAAAAUCCAGGAAACAGAGCACUUAACCAGAAGGGUGGUUCUGAGACUUGAGAACAAUCAGGAAGAAUCGGGACUGAGGAUUGUCAUCAGUUUCUUCGUCUGUAUAACGGGAUGAACGUCAGAACCAGCCCACGGGGCCGCCGCCAGGAGUAAUCCAGAUAAUACAAGCGAAAGUCUAGAACUGAGCUGGAGGGUGGAGCCCGGAGCAGGAUGGAAUGCUGCACGUCCUGCACAGAGUGAAGAGGGCCCAUGGCUUCCUUUUUGCUUUCUGUUGGAGUUCUGUCAAGGCCGUCUGAGAUGCGUUAGCUUCUGUUGUGGUGGAGGUCACGGCUCUCCACGCUGUGUGCAGGACUCAGCGAUGACACUGUUUCCACCUCUUCAGAAUGACUCACCAGCUACAGUCCUUCGGAGCACGCUGCCACAAGCAAACCUCAGGUCUUUUUCCAGAGCGCGCCACUGGGCUCUCCACGUCUGGCCAGCAAAAGGGGAAAAGCCAGUUUGAAGACCUCCUGGGGCUUCAGGGUCCGUGGCCAGAAGAGCUGCUCUAGAGUGCCCACCUUCCAUUGGCCAGAAGGGGUCCAAGGCGUCACACAGACGCAAACGAGCCCAGGAAGAAAAUGAAUUGGUUUGGUAAACAAUAGUCCAUUGGGACGGGGCAGCAGCCAUUCCAGGAGCUCGUGGAGCAGCCCUCUCCUGGACUGGGGAGGGGUCCCUCAGGCAGAGAGGAAGAGAGAGAAGGCAGGGGACCAAGCACUGGUUUUAAAACUUCCUGCUGGAAGUUUCACAUGCCUCUUCCACACACACUUCGCCAACCAAAGCAUGUCACAUGGCUGCUCUGGGUCUGCAGAGGGUGAGGAGGUACAUCGCACCACGUGCAAGAAGGGGACUGAGACUAUUGGGUGACCAGCGCUGAUGACAGCCCUUGUCACCCCGCAUCAUCCAAGCCUGCUUCUGAGGGCUGAGGAGUCUCCCACUUUCUGCAGCAGAGCCCUUCUCCACUCUGGAUGCCGACAGUGGUGGA